Gigantopelta aegis is the source of this 94-nucleotide small nucleolar RNA. The record is from RefSeq and is a predicted model, not a curated record. NCBI's taxonomy places the organism in Eukaryota, Metazoa, Mollusca, Gastropoda, Neomphalida, Peltospiridae.
UUCUGAUGAUGACUUGCCAUGCUAAUACAGAGAACUGGAACCGGAUGUGCUGGAACCAGUCUACCAUGAGUUGAUAUUCGCAUGACUGAAGAAU